UCACCUCUUACCUUUCCGAACAGAGAAGUUAAGCCCAACUGCGCAGAUGGUACUGCAGUUAUGUGGGAGAGUAUGUCGCCGCCUUCU
This 87-nucleotide ribosomal RNA is filed under the name Flavobacterium terrigena. The record is from RNAcentral. Lineage: Bacteria; Pseudomonadati; Bacteroidota; Flavobacteriia; Flavobacteriales; Flavobacteriaceae.